GUAUUACGAGUUUGUUGUUAAUUGUAAAGAUGCCUAAAUUAGUGUUUUUUCUGCAAUCAAGUGCCUUUGAUUCUGCUGAAAUUAAUUUUGUGAGUCACCCUGCAUGCUUGUUCGACGUGGGAUUGAAUCAUCACUGGAACCGGCUCGUCGGGUCACCGCUCACUAAAAGCUUCGCAUUACAAUUCUUCUUGGACAACCUGGCUCUUGAGGACAUCAUAACAGUCCUUGCCAAUUUUCUAUACGCGUUGUUGCGUUUCUAAACAAAAAAAAAAAAAAGAAAAAAGGU
Rhagoletis pomonella (apple maggot) is the source of this 286-nucleotide long non-coding RNA. RefSeq lists it as uncharacterized. NCBI's taxonomy places the organism in Eukaryota, Metazoa, Arthropoda, Insecta, Diptera, Tephritidae. The record is from RefSeq and is a predicted model, not a curated record. The transcript has 2 exons.